Molecule: ribosomal RNA, 219 nt
Filed under: uncultured cyanobacterium
Lineage: Bacteria; Bacillati; Cyanobacteriota
Description: partial 16S ribosomal RNA
Rfam family: Bacterial small subunit ribosomal RNA
Source: RNAcentral
GACGGAGCAAGACCGCGUGCGGGAGGACGGCCUAUUGGUUGUAAACCGCUUUUGAUAGGGAAGAAGUUCUGACGGUACCUAUCGAAUCAGCAUCGGCUAACUCCGUGCCAGCAGCCGCGGUAAUACGGAGGAUGCAAGCGUUAUCCGGAAUUAUUGGGCGUAAAGGGUCCGUAGGUGGUCGUUCAAGUCCCAUGUCAAAGCGUGCGGCUUAACCCCAUA